This 3290-nucleotide long non-coding RNA is filed under the name Triticum aestivum (bread wheat). RNAcentral's name for it is "long non-coding RNA (TAES_LNC014983)". The record is from RNAcentral. Lineage: Eukaryota; Viridiplantae; Streptophyta; Magnoliopsida; Poales; Poaceae.
UAUGAUCAAGAUCAAGGACUCAGGGGAAGAUAUCAUAACACAACUCUAGACACAAAUUAAAAUAAUACAAGCUUUAUAUUACAAGCCAGGGGCCUCGAAGGCUCGAAUACAUAAGCUCGAAUACACAAGAGUCAGCGGAAGAAACAAUAUCUGAGUACAGACAUAACUUAAACAAGUUUUGCCUUAAGAAGGCUAGCACAAAAGCAACAAUGAUCGAAAAGGCAAGGCCUCCUACCUGGGAGCCUCCUAACUCCUCCUAGUCGUCUGCGGUCUUCACGUAGUAGUAGGCAUCCUCCGGGUAGUAGUAGUCAUCAGUGGCAUCGUCUGGCUCCUGGGAUCCGUCAUCUGGUCGCAACAAUCAGGUAUGGGGGAAAAGGAAGUAGCAAAGCAACCGUGAGUACUCAUCCAAAGUACUCGCAAGACUUACAUCAGAUCUAAACUAAGUAUGCAUCUAUAUCAAAGGAAUGGGUUGUAUCCAUGGACUAAACUGCAGAAUGCCAAAAGGGAAGGGGAAAGCCUAGCCUAUCGAAGACUAGCAUCUUAUGGAAACCACCAUCUUGCAGCAACAGGAGGGAGUAGAGUAGCAUAAAGUAAAGUAGUAGAAGUGUUAUCAACCUCGGCCAGAGAUCCUUUUCUCGACUCCCUGAGAGAAAGCCAUCCCAGAGCCAUACUAUCCAUUUCUCAUCACCAUCCAUUUCUCAUCACAAGUAUCCAGUUCUAGUUGUAUGGAUCGGGAUACAACUCCAAGUGUCCGUUACCGUAGGACAGGCUAUCGAUAGAUGUUUUCUUCCCUGCAGGGGUGCACCAACUUACCCACCAUGCUCGAUUAACUCCGGCCGGACACACUUUCCUGGGUCAGGCCCGGCCUCGGCCAAACAAUACGCCGCAACCCGACCUAGGCUUAAUAGAGAGGCCAGCACGCCGGACUAAACCUAUGCCCCCAGGGGUCAUGGGCCAUCUCCCCGGGAACUCCUGCACGUUGCGUACGCGGCCGGUGAGCAGACCUAGCUACCUCCUUCAACAAGGCAGGAGCUUACGUAGUACAACCCGGCGCGCGCCGCUCAGUCGCUGACGUCUAUUAAGCUUUGGCUGAUGCAUACGACGCAGAACAUCAAUACUAUGCCCACGUGAUGGUUAGUGCUAUCAGGCCAGAGGCCCCUCGGAUCAAAUAUCCAAAUUGUAGUGGAUUAGGAAUGCGCGGUAACGAGCAGAGACUCACAAUCGAUGUGACUCCGUCGCCCUGUCUCGAGUACUUGUGGAAAGGGCUAAGAAUGCCCGGCCAUGCCUCGUAAGUAUCUCGCGGGCACUUUCCAGGUCAACCCGACUCCACAUCACUCGCUAAUAAGCUCGCGCGGGUACCCCUCAGGGUCGACCCGUCUUUAGUAACAUGGUUCAGUGUAAAGUCAUAGUAACCAUAGUAACUGUAUGUCUAACACCAAAGGGAAAACCCAAGGAAUCACCCCCCAUGAAUUCCACUCGCUGUUGUCAUCAAGGUGAACGUACACCCUCGAGGUUCACGUUUGAUGGGUUGCACGACAGAGCCGUAACGGAAGUGGUUAAGGAGGAAAUCACCCUCGAUGACCACGACCGAAUAGCUACUCUACAGAGAUCUCAUCAGGAGUGAUGUAUGAGGUUCCACCCUCGGCACUCGAUGGUAACUCUGUAGAGUCGAGCAACAAAGGGGCGUGAUGUGACGUGAGGUGUCGGGGCCUGGUCUUCGAUCCCGUUGAUCGGGUCUUCUGAUAAUCUAGCGGGGCAGUCGGGUCAAGUGGGGGGUCACUGAUGGGUCUCUAACCAAUCUAUACUAAGCACAAUAAACAGGCUAUGCAGCAGGAUAGGAGCAAACAAUAACAGUAGCAAAAUCUAAUGCAAGCAUGAGAGAAUGGAAUGGGCGAUAUCGGGAUGAUCAAAGGGGGGGGAGGGGCUUGCCUGGUUGCUCUGGCAAGGAGGGGUCGUCGUCGACGUAGUCGAUCACAGGGGCAACAUCGGUCUCGGGGUCUACCGGACAGAAGAGGGGAAAGAAACGUAAAUACACGCAAACAUAUGCACAACAUGAUUACAAGUGGGGCUAGAGGUGUCCUAACACAGUGCUAGGCGUUACUGGCGAAGGGGGAAACAUCCGGGAAGUUUUCCCGGUCCCGGACGUCUGCCAGACAAAUGAACCGGAGGGGAAAGUUUGCAUGUUCACUACACUAGGGACGUGUGGCAGACGAACGGACCGCUUAUCCAGAUUCAUCUCGAAAUUCUGAGUAACUUUCAUGUAGAAAACUUUUUCAUCCGAGCUACGGUUUAAUUUCUAUUAAUUUUCAAAGUUUUAUUAAUAUUCUGAAAUUAAUUUUAAUACGGAAAUAAAUGCUAAAAAGCACCCAGCACAGUGUACACCAAAGUGUACCAGUGGCUGACAAGUGGACCAGGGGUCCUAGUUGACCAGUCAACGUUUGACUGGUCAAUAGGGGGUGGGGCCCCCCUGUCAUAGGCUGUUUAUUCUAGCCGAACAGUUUAGUUAACCAAACUAGGUGAUUAGGCUAAUUAAACCCGAGUUAGUUAAGUUAAUUAACUUUUUAAUUAAUUAGUUAACUAAUUUUAUUAUUUAUUUAUUUUAAAUAUAUAUAUUUUUAUCCUUUUUUAAGGGGGCGUGGGGCCCCGGGUGCAGUGGCACAGAAGGUCAACCGGGGCGGGCGCGUCGUAGUGGGCGUGGGCGGGGGCGCCCGUCGGGGCGAACCCGGGCGACGAUCGUGGCCACGGCGGGGCUCACCGGCCAGCCGCGACAGGAGGAAACUGGCGCAGGGCGUGCCGGCGAUGGCCCAGCAGCGGAGGUGGCCUCGAGCAACGCGAGAGGGGAGGCCGGUGGCCAGGGACGGUGCGGCUGCCCAGGAUGACCGACGGCUGGUGUAGGCGGGAGCAGUGGGGGAAGCGCGGCGUCGCGAGGCAGAGGCUGCGCGGGCGCUGAACGGUGGCGAGGCGAGCAGGCGCGGCGUGGGGAGGAGCUGCGGGCUCGGCUGCGAGCGGCGCCGAGGCGGAAGCGGUGAGCUCCAGUGAGCUCGGCCACGGCGACGUACGACGUCAACGGCGACGGAUCUACGCGAAGGAGGAGGGGGAUCGACGGAGGGGCUCACCAGCCCUGUAGUGGUGCAAACGCGUCCUCGGGGAGGACCGGAGUAGCGCGACGGAGAGGUGAGGAGGCGAGGCGAUGACGGCGGCGGGGAGCAGCGUCGAGGCUCGGGGCGCCGCGGGGUCGAGCCCCCGAUUUAGCUCAGGUCGAGGGGGCGGGCGCCUGUGCUGCAGGCGNN